This 433-nucleotide ribosomal RNA is filed under the name uncultured bacterium. RNAcentral's name for it is "partial 16S ribosomal RNA". It matches the Rfam family "Bacterial small subunit ribosomal RNA", at positions 29 to 507 of the family's 1533-position model. The record is from RNAcentral.
AGCGAACGCUGGCGGCAGGCCUAACACAUGCAAGUCGAACGAACUCUUCGGAGUUAGUGGCGGACGGGUGAGUAACACGUGGGAACGUGCCUUUUGGUUCGGAAUAACUCAGGGAAACUUGUGCUAAUACCGAAUGUGCCCUUCGGGGGAAAGAUUUAUCGCCAUUAGAGCGGCCCGCGUCUGAUUAGCUAGUUGGUAAGGUAACGGCUCACCAAGGCGACGAUCAGUAGCUGGUCUGAGAGGAUGACCAGCCACACUGGGACUGAGACACGGCCCAGACUCCUACGGGAGGCAGCAGUGGGGAAUCUUGCGCAAUGGGCGAAAGCCUGACGCAGCCAUGCCGCGUGAAUGAUGAAGGUCGUAGGAUUGUAAAAUUCUUUCACCGGGGACGAUAAUGACGGUACCCGGAGAAGAAGCCCCGGCUAACUUCGUG